Molecule: ribosomal RNA, 495 nt
Filed under: Escherichia coli
Lineage: Bacteria; Pseudomonadati; Pseudomonadota; Gammaproteobacteria; Enterobacterales; Enterobacteriaceae
Description: bacterial LSU rRNA
Rfam family: Bacterial large subunit ribosomal RNA
Source: RNAcentral
CGGAUAAAAGGUACUCCGGGGAUAACAGGCUGAUACCGCCCAAGAGUUCAUAUCGACGGCGGUGUUUGGCACCUCGAUGUCGGCUCAUCACAUCCUGGGGCUGAAGUAGGUCCCAAGGGUAUGGCUGUUCGCCAUUUAAAGUGGUACGCGAGCUGGGUUUAGAACGUCGUGAGACAGUUCGGUCCCUAUCUGCCGUGGGCGCUGGAGAACUGAGGGGGGCUGCUCCUAGUACGAGAGGACCGGAGUGGACGCAUCACUGGUGUUCGGGUUGUCAUGCCAAUGGCACUGCCCGGUAGCUAAAUGCGGAAGAGAUAAGUGCUGAAAGCAUCUAAGCACGAAACUUGCCCCGAGAUGAGUUCUCCCUGACUCCUUGAGAGUCCUGAAGGAACGUUGAAGACGACGACGUUGAUAGGCCGGGUGUGUAAGCGCAGCGAUGCGUUGAGCUAACCGGUACUAAUGAACCGUGAGGCUUAACCUUACAACGCCGAAGCUGUU